CUACGGAGGGUGCGAGCGUUAAUCGGAAUUACUGGGCGUAAAGCGUACGUAGGCGGUUGGUUAAGUUAGAUGUGAAAGUCCCGGGCUUAACCUGGGAACUGCAUUUAAAACUGGCGAACUAGAGUUGAGUAGAGGGGAGUGGAAUUUCAGGUGUAGCGGUGAAAUGCGUAGAGAUCUGAAGGAACACCAGUGGCGAAGGUGACUCCCUGGACUCGAACUGACGCUGAGGUACGAAAGCGUGGGUAGCAAACGGGAUUAGAAACCCCAGUAGUCC
Molecule: ribosomal RNA, 274 nt
Filed under: uncultured bacterium
Lineage: Bacteria
Description: partial 16S ribosomal RNA
Rfam family: Bacterial small subunit ribosomal RNA
Source: RNAcentral